Molecule: ribosomal RNA, 256 nt
Filed under: Escherichia coli
Lineage: Bacteria; Pseudomonadati; Pseudomonadota; Gammaproteobacteria; Enterobacterales; Enterobacteriaceae
Description: partial 23S ribosomal RNA
Rfam family: Bacterial large subunit ribosomal RNA
Source: RNAcentral
AAAUCGUACCCCAAACCGACACAGGUGGUCAGGUAGAGAAUACCAAGGCGCUUGAGAGAACUCGGGUGAAGGAACUAGGCAAAAUGGUGCCGUAACUUCGGGAGAAGGCACGCUGAUAUGUAGGUGAAGUUGCUCGUGGAGCUGAAAUCAGUCGAAGAUACCAGCUGGCUGCAACUGUUUAUUAAAAACACAGCACUGUGCAAACACGAAAGUGGACGUAUACGGUGUGACGCCUGCCCGGUGCCGGAAGGUUAAU